This is a non-coding RNA of Oxyura jamaicensis (ruddy duck), 83 nucleotides long. The record is from the annotation of a RefSeq genome assembly. NCBI's taxonomy places the organism in Eukaryota, Metazoa, Chordata, Aves, Anseriformes, Anatidae.
GUCAGGAUGGCCGAGUGGUCUAAGGCUCUGCGUUCAGGUCGCAGUCUCCCCUGGAGGCAUGGGUUCACAUUCCACUCCUGACA